Molecule: ribosomal RNA, 1308 nt
Filed under: Sigmella normalis
Lineage: Eukaryota; Metazoa; Arthropoda; Insecta; Blattodea; Blattellidae
Description: 16S ribosomal RNA
Rfam family: Archaeal large subunit ribosomal RNA (bases 612-1308)
Source: RNAcentral
UAUUUGUUAUAUUACAUUAUGUGAUUUUUGUUUAUUAUUGGUGGGUAAAAUAUUUAGGUGUUGGUGUAUAUUUUGUGGAUAUAAUUUAUUUUGUUAUAGUGUAUUAGUACUGUGAGGGGUUUUGUAAUUUGUUUAAAAUUGUAGGAAGUUAAAUUUAUUUGUUGUACCUUGUGUCUCAGGGUUUAUCAAUAAAGUGGAAUGUAUUGUUUUUGUUCUCGAUUUUGGGAGAGUUAGUAAGGUAUGUUAUUUAUUGUUUUAAAAUUAUUGAUAAUAUUUUAUUAGUGGUGAAAUGUCUUUCGUUCUUGAAUGUAUCUGGUUUUUUAUGAAAUGAAUUUAAAUUGUGUAUCUGUUUUUAAUGUGGGUUGUUUUUUGUGAUUUGUUUUAAUUGAUGCUAAUAUUUUAAGGGAUGAGCUUUGGGGUAUAAUUCUAUAAUAUUGUAAGAUUUUUGAGUGGCAUGGAUUUAAUGGUGAUUGUUUGUUUGGAGGAUGUUAAAGUUUUACUUUAUUACUUUUUUUUUUAUGUUUUGUUUGGGUAUUUUAUUAGGAGUUUUUAAUUAAUUUUUUAUUAGUGGAGAUAAUGAUGAAAUUAGUAUAUACAAUAAUUAUUUUUAAUGUGUAUUUGUCAUAUUGAUUAGAGGAAUUAGGCAAAAAUUGUGUUCGCCUGUUUAACAAAAACAUCUUUUCUUGUAUUGUUUUGGAAAUAUGACCUGCCCACUGAUUUAAUUGAAGGGCCGCGGUAAUUUGACCGUGCAAAGGUAGCAUAAUCAUUAGUUUUUUGAUUGAAGACUGGAAUGAAUGGUUGGACGAGAUAUAUUCUAUCUUUUUUUUAUUAUUUGAAUUUAAUUAUUAAGUGAGAAAGCUUAGAUGUUGCUAAGGGACGAGAAGACCCUAUAGAGUUUAAUAUUUAUUUUUAAAUAUUUUGGUUUGGUUAAAUUUGAUUUUUGAAUUAAGUAUUUUGUUGGGGUGACAAGGAGAAAUAUUAAACUCUUCUUUGAUGUUGUUUAUUGAUUUAUAUUUUUAUAGAUCCAUUGUUUGUGAUAAUAAGAUUAAAUUACCUUAGGGAUAACAGCGUAAUUCUUUUUGAGAGUUCGUAUUAAUAAAAGGGAUUGCGACCUCGAUGUUGGAUUAAGAUAAAGUGUUAGGUGAAGAAGCUUAAAUUACUAGGUCUGUUCGACCUUUAAAAUCUUACAUGAUCUGAGUUCAAACCGGUGUGAGCCAGGUUGGUUUCUAUCUUUAGUGUAAGGAAGUAUUUUAGUACGAAAGGACCAAAUACUUGAAAUAAUUUUUUUGUAUUGAUUGAUAUUAAGUG